RNAcentral lists this unclassified non-coding RNA (200 nucleotides) under soil metagenome. RNAcentral describes it as "partial contains internal transcribed spacer 2 and large subunit ribosomal RNA". The record is from RNAcentral.
GCCUGUUUGAGAAUCACACUAUCACUCUGAUCCGAUUGCAUCACGUGCAGUUGGUCGACAUGGGCCUUCAGCACUGAUCGCCUCGAAUUGCUCGCGAUCGUCGUGAUAUGACAGGGUGUGGCAGCAAUGCCGUCCAGUGUUGUCGACGAUCAACCCGUGCUCGUGAUCUCAAAUCAGGCAAGGCUACCCGCUGAACUUAA